This 6022-nucleotide long non-coding RNA is filed under the name Fragaria vesca (wild strawberry). RNAcentral's name for it is "long non-coding RNA (FVES_LNC005602)". Lineage: Eukaryota; Viridiplantae; Streptophyta; Magnoliopsida; Rosales; Rosaceae. The record is from RNAcentral.
UUCUGUUGCAAAACAAUUGGUCGUGGAUUCGGAGGAUUUCUUUGGCCAUGGUUGGUGAAGAAACUACUACAGUGGUUAUCUGGCCAAGCUUCAAAGACAUAAUGGAGCCAUAGUGUUGUGAGAGGUUGGUCAAAGAGAUAUGAGGUUUGUCUCCAAGAUCAAAGAGAUUUCCAACCAAUGGAAAUGGCUUUGGUCCUAGUGGAAGCCUAACUCUGGUUCUUCUAUGGUGGGCUUGGAUUAAGAAGCAGGAGAUUAAACACAGACACAACAGUAUACCAGACAAGAAGUCCAUCUUUCACUAACAAAUUAGCUUCAAUCACAAGUCCAACUCCAACUCUCCUUGAGCUUAACUUAUGGGGAUGAGUUGAGCUAGAUUAUGAAUUAUUGGCCAUCUAUAUAUUCACAUGUGGUAUAGAUUUCAAUGGUGAAGUUACUCUUUAUAGCAACAUUAUAGGACUUUCUCAAUUUCGUAUCUGAGGGCAUAUCUGAGACGUCCGAGCAUAUCCAGGUGUAUCCAAGUGUAUAAAGGACGAUUGAAGUUGAGUGAUAUAGAUUUGAAAGGUAUCAUCAGUUCAUUUUCCAAAGCCAGAAAUAUGUGGACACCUCUGUUUUAAAUGGUCUAGGAAAGAGCCAUCACUUUUCUCUGCUUCAAUAUUUAUUGUUUAACGAAAUGUGAUCAUCUUAAUAAUCUAAUUUUGUGUUUGUCAAAUGAUGUGUUCUAUUCAAACCACAUAUUUGCUCAAAAUAAUGAUGCAAUGGUCACCUAUCUUCGACGGAAGCAAUGGCCUCCUAUCUUUGACGGAAGUAAUGGCCUCAUUAUCAAUACUCAAUAAUUCAGAUUGGUGCCUUGUACCACAAGCAACCUAACAGUGAGCAUAAGUCCUGGAUAUCAAACAUCCAUUUUACUUCUUUUUACUUCAAUUCAUCAUUUUGGGGAGUAGUUUCGGCUAAUUAAUGACUCUUGACUUGUUGAGCCUGCGUGCAGUUUGUUAGCUAGGGUCGAACUCUUAUCUCAUAGCUUUGCCUGCAAGCCUUGCAUUCCCUUGCAGGAAAAGGAAAAUCUGCCAUAAUCGAAAUACGGAUGAAGGCGUUCCGAGUAGGGAAAGAAAAGCACCCGGUACUUGUAGUCUAUGACUGAGAUGUUAAGGAUAAAGAUAUAAUUACCUCCUCAUGGUCUUGGUGUAAAUAGCAGGCCUUUCUUUCGAACUCUGUAAUACAAGCUCUUUCUCUCAAUCUCUUUGUUUUUCUUAAUCAGCUUUCAUGGUAUCAAGAGCCUUGGUUUCGUUCUUGGAGCAUUGAAGGCCUUCUCUCUCAUUUUUCUUCUGCGCGUUUUAGUUUUCUUAGUAUCAGAAAUUCAGAAUUGUUUUUCCCAAUUUCAAAACCCUAACCCCAAUUUCAGUUUCAAUUUCGAAGCAUUCUCUUCUCCUCGGUCUGUCACCGGCACGUCCCGAUUCGUCACCGUCCUUCCUUGACUCGUUCUCCUUUCUCCGAUUUGGUCGCCGACCUCGACUUGCUACAAUGUUCGAUCGGGUUUGGGAUUGGAAAUUGGCUCAUCAGAGAUUGCUUUGAGUUUCAAAUUUAGAUAAGUUCACCUUUGUUGAGAAGGAUAAAUUUUGGUUUUCUAUCAAGAUUGUUGAUAGUUGUGGAUUUGAAGCCUUGGAUUUGUGAUUAGAGUAUACUACAUGCAUAUUCAGUUAGUUCUUUGUCUGCAAAUUCAGAUAAGUUCUUCCUCAAAAUUGAUCAGAUUGAGUACAAAUUGAUGAAAGAUUGGUUCAAUAUCAGAAUUGGGUAGUAAAUUUUUCAGUUGGUUAUUCCUGGAAACAUUGGAAAGUAAGUGAUACUUUUUAUGAUUGAUAUUUGAUUUGAUAUUAGCAAGACUAUCAUUGGUUCUGAGUUCUAUUUGUUGAAGAUUUAUGCUCCGUCAGACUUCUAUUCUAGCAUUGUUUAGGUGAAGAUAAAUUGGUGGCAUUUGGGGUUUGUUCAGAUAAUUGGUGUUAUUGGGAAGCUUUCAUUGUGAGUUAUGAGUAAGAACUUGGAGCUACAGAAUUGCUUACUCGUCAACUUCAAAAAUUUUAUUUCAAUCCAGUUAGACGACUCUAACUAUGUUACCUGGAAAUUUCUUGUAGAGACACUAUUAACAGGUUGUGGCCUAAUGAGAUAUGUUGAUGGGUCAUUCCCUUGUCCCCUAGAAUAUAAGACUUUGGAAGAAAAUGGGGUUGCAUUUCAUGCGUACAUGAGUUGGGUGCAGAAUGAUUGUACUGCUAUGUCUUUACUUGCUGCUACCUUGUCCAGUAAUGCUCUCUCCUUCAUUGUUGGAAGUAAGACUUCUAAAGAGAUUUGGUGCCAACUUAAGGAGAAAUAUGUUGAUACUUCACGGUAUAACAUAAUGAAGCUCAAAUCCUCAUUGUACAACAUCCAGAUUGGUUCAGACUCUAUUGACAAGUACUUACUCCGAGUCAAGGAAAUUUGUGAUCAGCUUGCUACUUUAGGAGUUUCUAUGGAUGAUGAAGAAAUAAUAGUCUCAGUGCUUAAUGGUUUGCCAUCAGCGUUUGCUGCGAUCAAAACCAUAAUAAGGAUUAAAAGUCUGAGCUCCCCUGUUUCAAUGGUAGAAUUAAGAUCUCUUUUGUUGAUUGGUGAAGAUGAGAUUGCUCAAACAAUGAAGUCUGUUUCUAUGUCUUUGGAGACUGCUAUGGCUGCAUGUGGUGAUACUUCCAGAGGUACUGUUCAUUCUCAUUCUUUGGAUAAUAGCAGUUUACCUAAUUCGGAAAUGGUUAGCUCAUCUUCUACAUCUGCUGUUAUUAUUUCAAACACUAAUGCUCUUACCAGCAACUAUUCAAAACCUGUUACUCAAUUUGGUUAUGUGUCUCAACCAAAUGUUAUAUCUACCACUCCGGGUGUAUAUGAUGUUAUAUGAUGUUAUAUCUUCUAUAUCUACCAAAUGUUAUCUGCUUGCCCUACUAGAUACAUUAUGCACUUAAUGCCUAGUACUGAGUAUAUGAUGUCUUCUGGUGGUUAUUCUCCUUCUAACAAUGGUUUGGUUCAGUCACAAGUCAACACAAGAUGUAUUCGACCCAAGGGUAGUAUUCGAUACAAUGGAGGAUUUGUUGGGUCUCAUGGUUUUAUGCAACAAGGUAUUGAUAAGUAUUGGCAAAGCAAUAAUUACUGUGGUCAAAAUAAGAACAAUGGUAUCUAUGGACAGGGAUUCAAGCUCAGUUCAGAUGGUAGCAGGGCUGUUUCUCUUGUGCAUAAUAAUCAAGGUACUCAAGCAAGGUCUAGCGACUCUCAAAGCGUGUGUUCUUCUGCAGAUAUUUGUCAUAUAUGCAAUCAAUUCGGCCAUUUUGCAGGAACUUGUCCUCAAAGACCUGCUUCUCGACAAGUUGUUGCAUCUGGAUCUUAUAUGCGAUGUCAAAUUUGUUUGAAGACUGGUCACAGUGCAGCAGAAUGUUUGCAUAAGCAGCAUUAUGAUUUUUUACCACUAACUCAAGAAGAGCAUCAAGCUAUGAAUGCUUCCUUCUUCUCUCAAUCAACGGCAACAUCCAUUCCUACUGAAUCUACUUUUGUGUCCAGCAACUCUUCAUCUUCCAUUGAGAUUUCAAAUGGUAAUGCUUCUUGUUCUGCCACUUCAGUUUCCUCUGAGAGAUCAGAAUGGCAACAUGAAUGCCUCAAGCAACUUGCAGCUUUAUCAAUUCAAGGCACUAAGCAGUUCAUGUCUACUCCUUUGAAUAAAACUACACUAUUAUAGGCAGACCUCUCAUCCUUCAAGGCUAUGUCACUCACUGUCAUUGAUUUCUCCUGGUUGAUUUACAUAGCAAUCUGAUGUUAGUUGUCCCUCCCAUCCGCUUGAAAAGGGGGGGGGUUUGUUAAGGAUAAAGAUGUAAUUACCUCCGCAUGGUCUUGGUAUAAAUAGCAGGCCUUUCUUUCGUGUAAGAGAUUAGAACCCUAACUCUGUAAUACAAGCUCUUUCUCUCAAUCUCUUUGCUUUUCUUAAUCAGCUUUCAUGAGAGACAUACAUUCUGAUGGAAUGCUGUAAAAGUAAUUAUCAGAGCUUCUUGCAAGUUGCAAAUAAUAAAAAUCACUAAACCUUUAUUUAUUUUAUAACGAAAUAAAUACAAGGGGAAACAGAAUAGAGAGGAACUGUCUCCAAAGGCAGCCUGCACCAGGUUGAUAAAAUUACAUUUUUUUUUUUUUGGCUGAAAGAUGAGUGAGAGAGAGGAAUGAUCCCCUAACAUUUUUAUGCAUUAAAAAAGAAAAGAAGAGAGAAACAUCAAAAUUAGACCAAAAUCUCUCGCAACAAAAUAACAACGAAACAAAACUGGAAAACCGAAAUCGGAUAAAAUUACAUGAUUCAGCCUACAGUUAUUUAACAUCAUUCCAUUACAAUUUCCUUUGGAACAGCUUUGAGAGGCUGAGCCAUUUCUAAAGAGACGGCAAACUUGUCUUCCAAGUUCAUAGUCUCAGGUACAACUCCAUCUUCAAGCUUCCAAUCAAAGCAGUUGAUGAGUGAACCCAGCAUCAAGUGCAACAUUCUCAUUGCCAAUGGCAAACCUGGACAAAUUCUCCUCCCACCGCCAAACGGAAGAAGCUCAAAGUUUUGUCCCAUCACAUCAAUUUGGUUGUCUGAUCCUAAGAACCUCUCUGGCAUAAAAGAGUUUGGAUUGUCCCAACUGCUGGGGUCUCUGCCUAUGGCCCAAAUAUUAACAAGAAUUUGUGCACCCUUCGGGACAAUGUAGCCCCCGAUUUCUACAUCUGUUUCAGCUUUUCGUGGCAGUAGCAUUGGAAUCACCGGGCGCAGGCGGAAAGUUUCCUUGAUUACUGCUUGUAAGUAAGGGAGUCUAGCAAUGUCGGAUUCCUCAAUUGAUUUUCCUUUUCCAAUCAUUUGGUCCAGCUCUUCUUUAGCUUUAGAAAGGCACUUUGGGUUGUGUAGUAGCUCCGCCAUUGCCCAUUCUAAUGUGGCUGAAGUUGUUUCUGUACCCGCAACAAAUAGAGCCUACUAUGCACAGUGAGUCAGUGACUAAUUGUUUAGAAAGUAACUCUACACUCUGCAGUCUGCACUGCACUAUGAAUCGUUAUUUAUUUGAUUGAAUACCUCAUACUUAAGAGAGCAAAAAGUCAGUAAUUAAAACAUUAUUGAAGUGAGUAUUCAAGAGAACAGGAAGAGUAGAUAGAGAGUAAAGAGGAGACUAACCAUAAACAAAUGUUCAAUAACUUUGGGGAUGUUCAAAUCCUCCUCAUUUUCCUCUUCUCUGAGGUCUAUAAGAGUAUCCAACAUAUCAUUACUUGCAACAUAAUCAUCCCCUUUUCUAAAUUCCAAUCUUUGUCUGAUCACUGAUUCAAAUAAGCCUGAUAUCGUGUUGUAGUGAUUAGUAAAGCGCCGCCUUCUGCCUUGGGGAUCAAUCUUCUUAAGCACGGGAAAACAGUCCCCUAAAUUUGGUUGCCCAGCCUCGUCUUUCAAACUAGUGACAAACUUAUUGAACUCUUUAGUCAACUCGCUGCUGCUACUCGAGUCAUCAUCAGCCAAAUCCACUGAGAGAAUAGUUCUUGACAGCAAAUCAAGUGAAGUUUUGAAAGCAGCCUUUCCUAUAUCUACUGUCAAACCCUUUACCAUGCUGUCAUUGACACUAGCUAUGAGCUCUUGCACUUUCGCUCUCCGGUUUUCUUUGUUUGCAUCAAGAACUCUUGUGGCAAAGAGUUGGGAGGUGCAUAUUUUCCGAAGAUUUCUCCACCUUGGUGAUACUGGCAUCCACGGCACGCUGUCUUCCAUUGCUCGAAGCGCAUCUGGGAUUGUUCUGUUGCAAAACAAUUGGUCAUGGAUUCGGAGGAUUUCUUUGGCCAUGGUUGGUGAAGAAACUACUAUAGUGGUUAUCUGGCCUAGUUUCAAAGACAUAAUGGAGCCAUGGUGUUGUGAGAGCUUGGUCAAAGAGAUAUGAGGUUUGUCUCCAAGAUCAAAGAGAUUUCCAACCAAUGGAAAUGGCUUUGGUCCUGGUGGAAGCCUAACUCUGGUUCUUCUAUGGAGGGCUUGGAU